CCUACGGGGGGCAGCAGUGAGGAAUAUUGGUCAAUGGGCGCGAGCCUGAACCAGCCAAGUAGCGUGAAGGAUGACUGCCCUACGGGUUGUAAACUUCUUUUAUAAAGGAAAAAAGUGAGGCAAGUGUGCCUGUUUGUAUGUACUGUAUGAAUAAGGAUAGGCUAACUCCGUGCCAGCAGCCGCGGUAAUACGGAGGAUCCGAGCGUUAUCCGGAUUUAUUGGGUUGAAAGGGAGCGUAGAUGGGUUGUUAAGUCAGUUGUGAAAGUUUGCGGCUCCACCGUAAAAUUGCAAUUGAUACUGGCAGCCUUGAGUACAGUUGCGGUAGGCGGCAUUCGUGGUGUAGCG
RNAcentral lists this ribosomal RNA (345 nucleotides) under uncultured bacterium. Its description in RNAcentral is "partial 16S ribosomal RNA". It matches the Rfam family "Bacterial small subunit ribosomal RNA", at positions 338 to 680 of the family's 1533-position model. The record is from RNAcentral.